CUAUAUCCUACUCUGUUGUUUUAUUUUAUUUUAUUUUUGGCCCUCAAUAUGACCAAGAUUUUUCAUUCUUGUCCUGUUUUCUAGGUACCUUCCCAUUUGUUAUUUCUCGCCAACCCCUGGGCCUCCACUACCUCUUAUAUAAGACUUCCUGCCUUUAUGGGCAUCAUCUUUCUGUGGUCCAUUACCAGGAAAGGGGCUUUGGGACUUCCACCUUCACUGCUUUCUCUUGCCUUCAAACCUCCUGCUUGUAAUCAUGCACUGGGCAGAGAAGACUUGACUUCAAGGAAGGUGGCUUAGCCCCUGGUCUAGGGAUGAGCAUAAGCCUAGUUCUGGACACUGUAAUAUAAGCGAGUAUCUUCUGAGGAAGAAUUUUCCUCUUUAAUAAGAUAGGGGUUACAUGAGGAAAAGUGCUCUUUGCAACAUAACCUCCUAUGUCCUGCCUUUCAAUCUGUGUCAAAUGGAACUGUGGUGCUUUCAACUAUGGCUGCUACCUUGAAACAGAAAGACCAAGAGACAUCAACACAGCAUCUUGACAUUGUUCAGUCCCAAAGUCAUCCAGCAGCUGCCUGCCUCUGGGUUUCUUAGUACACAAAACAAGUAGAUGAUUCUUUUUAUACACUAUUGCUGUUUUGUAAAACAUUAUUUAAGUAUCUAUUUGAAGUUUCUGGUAAUUCCAUAAAUUGAAACCAGCCAUCUGGGUUGUGUGAUAAUUUUUCUAGCAGUGUUCAGAUGAGUCAGUAAAGAUGUGAGGAAAGGGAAAGUUUGGGUUCAACAAGGACUGGGGUUCUAUUGGGUAAGUACAGUAAAGGGAGAAGGAAACAGGGAGUUGAGAGUGUUUGCAGAAAAGGUGAUUCUAACAAGAAUCAGGGAAUCUAAGCAAGAUAAAGAGGAAAGUCAAUAUGGAGAGGUCAAAUUAGGUCUUAAUGAGGUCAGGGAACUCUUGCAGAGGGCAUAUUGGAGUGAAUGGAUUGGGAAUGUAGGAGAGGGUGGUUAGACACUAGAAUGCUUGAAACUGGAAUAAGAAAUGGAGGCAUUACAGAUGAUGAGAAGUCAGAAAACCACUUUGGAGAUAGGGAGGUCAAAGCCCAGAGAGAUCAAGUUGACGUAAAACAGCAUGAAAACUUACACACACACACACACACACACACACACACAUGAUCUUAUUCAUAAGUUGAUAAUAUAUUUAAACAUUCUUAUGCUACCCUCCCCUACAUCCAUUUCCCCCUUUUCUGCCUGUUCUGUGCCCUGUGAGGCUGAUAUCUAUAAGCUGCAUCACUCAGGUACCCUGCUCCUGUGGCUGUGGUUGGGUUUGACCAAGGAAAGUUGAGGGGAAAUGAAAGUUGGAAUAUUUCUGUCCCUCCCCUAUCCCUUCCUGAAUGUGGUUCCAGCAGUGGCUGAGUACCAGGGCUACAGUUCCUGAUGGAGGUGAGCGUUCCUCUCUCAGAGCUCCAAGCCAUCUGCAGGCUCUAUAACACAUCGCCCUCAUCAUUGUGCCUUGCGGCCUAGAGUCAACAAUGGCUUCAUGUAGCCUUCAUUCCCCAUUUGUUCUCUUAACCUAGAUUAUAUCCCUCCAAAUAUUUUCUUAAUUUAACUUUCUUCAAUUAAACUUUUUGAGUGUGGUACAUAUUUUCUCCAGGACCCAGGCUAUUUCAGUCAAUUUCACAAAUUGACUGUGAAAAAGUUUACACAAUUUAAUAUACAAAAUAGUCAACAAUAGAGGAAAGUAUCUUAAGGAAAGUGACAAAUGUUUUGCUACCUAAUAUAAACUAAUGAGAUAGUAAAUAAUAUUUUGGAUUAUAAUUGAACUGUGGAGUUUUAGAAUUAGAAUUAUCUUUGACAAUUAAAACCCAAUCUAAAUGCUUCAUAUUUUAACUGUUUUUUUUCAGUACAGAGAGGUUAAAUGGAAAAUUUUGAAUCAUGUAGACAAUACUGUUUUAAUUUUCUCAGAUGAGCUUUGUGAAAUGUGAAACCUCACAACCUUCUCAUUCCCAACCUAAUUUUAUCUGGCAAAAUAAACUGUAUUAUUUUUAAAGUAGAACUUACAAAAUCCAAAAUUUUACUCAGGGAAGAUACGCUGAAACUGCUGAUCUUUUAACUUAUCCUAAUUUCUACAUCAAUUGCUUCUUUCCUUUGAGAUAUUUCUGGAACUCCUAGAUUCAUAUUUAAAGAUCAUCUAAAAAUUUCUUUAAUUUACCAUUUUACAAAAAUAACACUGAUUACAGACAAUUUUAUAACAGUAAUGCAAUAUUACCCAGAGGCCCAUGGAAAGACAUAGUUACAUGUGAUCCUAUGCAGCUACUCAAGGUUGUUAUAUCUCCACAGCAGAUACCUCUAUAAAGAUGAAGCUCUGAUAGGAAUAUUCACUUAUAUUAGGAGACAGAAGAAUAAGUACCACAUGCCUUAUCUUUUCUAUUUGUACAAGCAGCAGAGAAUAUUUAAUGACAAACAUUCUUAUUUCCAUUUGUCACACAAUGGUUUUAACAAUGUAUUAUCAUCAGCUCAUAUACCAAGAGGUUGCCAUUGAUGUUAUGUGUCAGGAAGAUGCUUUUCUGAUGACCUUUAAAUACCACAAUCCCAAGUGAUGAUGCAGAAUGACUUUCUUUUAUCCCAAGACCUUCUUUAAAAAAUUCAAAUGCUUUGGGGUAUGUCAUUGGGCCAAUGAUGCAGUGUUACAUCUUUUGCAAGAUGUUAGAGGAAGGAAAGACUGUUAAACCUUGGAUGUCAAUUGUUACCUUUACUAAGGUAUUUUUACCUUAUCUAUUUGUAACAUUUUUCUUCUAAAGAGCACAAAGACUGUAUGAAAAAGCGUACAAAGACCUCCAAUAUUCCAAAUUAUUGAGAGAAGGUGGCAUUUUUUUUUCUUUUGGGUUGGGGUGCUGUGCACAAAUAUGAAAGUUGUUGAAAACAAAUCAUCCCCUAUGAUGAUCUCAAUGAGGAAAAAUUUUAAACUAGACUGUCCCAUCUGUCAGGUGCAACAUUUCGCAGAUGAAUCUGUGACACUCAUCAAACCACACUCAGAUCAGAUUCUGAUACUCCCAACACGUGACUUUGAUAUUGAGUCAACUGUCAGUACAUACAUGUCACUUGAGAGGGGUAUUUUUCCCACAUCAUUUGUGUAAGUCAUGGGAUAAUUAAAAAGGUCGAUUUCCUUUCUUCCAAAAUCCCUAUUUCCAUUAUUUCCCAGAAUUCUUCUCAGGGAAGAUACUGUGUGUAUUUGAAAAAGAUCCUUUGUUAAAUUAAGGUUGAGAGAAAACCCAAAAGGCAAACUAGAAACACUACAUGGUCUACAAAUGUAUUCUAAGAAGUGGAGAAGGCGUCUUAUAACUAAGUGGCAUUACAAUUGCUGAGCACUGUGUUCAGUGGGGCUCACAUAUACUGGAAUAGAUCAGAAUUUACCAACUCAAUAGGGAAGACUAUAAGCAUUUUCUAUGGUUUGAAUGGGUCCCCUCCAAUACUUAGAUGUUGCCAACGUUAUAGCCUUAAGAGGUAGGGCCUUUAAGAGGUGAUUAGACCAUGAGGGAGGAGCCCUCAUAAAUGUGAUUUAGGUCCUUGUGCAAAAGGCUUCAUGCAACACUCAGCCUGCUUGCUCACUGGCUUCCAUGUGAAGACACUUCGUUCCUACCCUCCAGAGGAUGCAACAUCAAGGCACCAUCUUAGGAGCAGAGAGCAGCCUUCAGUAAACCUGCUGGCACCUUGAUCUUGGAAUUUCCAACUUCUAGAACUGUAAGAAAAUAAAUUCCUUUAGUUUGUAAAUUACCCAGUCUAGGUAUUUUGUUAUAGCAGCACAAAACAGCUAAGAUAUUGUUUAAAUGAAAUGCAGGAGAUAAGAAGGGACUAUGAAAGACAGAUGUUUAAUGGGAUUUGUGAAGACCAUGAACAAUGUAAUGUAAAUAUCAUUGUAAUGUGCAAUGUAAACCCUCUCCUCUCCUAUGAAAUCAACAUAAUAUUUUAUACUACUUAAUCACAAUAUUGGUGUGAUUGAAUUAUCCAAGGGGAAUGUAAGGAAUAGUGGAUGCAAGGCAAAAGCAGAGAUAUUUCAACAUCUGAAAAAUUUUUAGAAAAAGAAAAGGGCUCACUUCUUCAGGAACUUUUUCUCUGCUUUUCUGUGCUAAGUAAGAAGUGUUUACUUUCUUUUAUUUUCAUGAUGGUAUAAG
This 4154-nucleotide long non-coding RNA is filed under the name Homo sapiens (human). RNAcentral's name for it is "HSALNT0052168". Lineage: Eukaryota; Metazoa; Chordata; Mammalia; Primates; Hominidae. The record is from RNAcentral.